GUGACUGCGUACCUUUUGUAUAAUGGGUCAGCGACUUAUAUUCUGUAGCAAGGUUAACCGAAUAGGGGAGCCGAAGGGAAACCGAGUCUUAACUGGGCGUUAAGUUGCAGGGUAUAGACCCGAAACCCGGUGAUCUAGCCAUGGGCAGGUUGAAGGUUGGGUAACACUAACUGGAGGACCGAACCGACUAAUGUUGAAAAAUUAGCGGAUGACUUGUGGCUGGGGGUGAAAGGCCAAUCAAACCGGGAGAUAGCUGGUUCUCCCCGAAAGCUAUUUAGGUAGCGCCUCGUGAAUUCAUCUCCGGGGGUAGAGCACUGUUUCGGCAAGGGGGUCAUCCCGACUUACCAACCCGAUGCAAACUGCGAAUACCGGAGAAUGUUAUCACGGGAGACACACGGCGGGUGCUAACGUCCGUCGUGAAGAGGGAAACAACCCAGACCGCCAGCUAAGGUCCCAAAGUCAUGGUUAAGUGGGAAACGAUGUGGGAAGGCCCAGACAGCCAGGAUGUUGGCUUAGAAGCAGCCAUCAUUUAAAGAAAGCGUAAUAGCUCACUGGUCGAGUCGGCCUGCGCGGAAGAUGUAACGGGGCUAAACCAUGCACCGAAGCUGCGGCAGCGACGCUUAUGCGUUGUUGGGUAGGGGAGCGUUCUGUAAGCCUGCGAAGGUGU
RNAcentral lists this ribosomal RNA (667 nucleotides) under Escherichia coli. RNAcentral describes it as "partial 23S ribosomal RNA". It matches the Rfam family "Bacterial large subunit ribosomal RNA", at positions 593 to 1259 of the family's 2925-position model. The record is from RNAcentral. Lineage: Bacteria; Pseudomonadati; Pseudomonadota; Gammaproteobacteria; Enterobacterales; Enterobacteriaceae.